GAUGAACGCUGGCGGCGUGCCUAAUACAUGCAAGUCGAGCGAACGGACGAGAAGCUUGCUUUUCUGAUGUUAGCGGCGGACGGGUGAGUAACACGUGGAUAACCUACCUAUAAGACUGGGAUAACUUCGGGAAACCGGAGCUAAUACCGGAUAAUAUUUUGAACCGCAUGGUUCAAAAGUGAAAGACGGCCUUGCUGUCACUUAUAGAUGGAUCUGGGCUGCAUUAGAUAGUUGGUAAGGUAACGGCUUACCAAGGCAACGAUGCGUAGCCGACCGAUGGGGCGGGUCGGCGGCAUUGGAGCGUGACCGGGAACAUUGCGACUGCGAGACGGCCCAGACUGCUACGGGCGGCAGCGGGGGGGAACAUUGCAGAGUGGGCCGAAGCGUGUUGCAGAAACCUCGCGUGCGGGAUGACCGCUUUCGGGGGGUAAACAGAUUUCGACGGUGCUGAAGCGUGAGUGACGGUAACGGGUAAAGAAGCACCGGCUAACUACGUG
This 497-nucleotide ribosomal RNA is filed under the name uncultured bacterium. RNAcentral's name for it is "partial 16S ribosomal RNA". It matches the Rfam family "Bacterial small subunit ribosomal RNA", at positions 28 to 507 of the family's 1533-position model. The record is from RNAcentral.